GACGAACGCUGGCGGCGUGCUUAACACAUGCAAGUCGAACGGUGAACCUCUUCGGAGGGGAUCAGUGGCGAACGGGUGAGUAACACGUGGGCAACCUGCCCCCGGCUCUGGGAUAACUCCAAGAAAUUGGGGCUAAUACCGGAUGUUCACCGCUUCCCGCAUGGGUGGUGGUGGAAAGGGUUUCCGGCUGGGGAUGGGCCCGCGGCCUAUCAGCUUGUUGGUGGGGUAGUGGCCUACCAAGGCGACGACGGGUAGCCGGCCUGAGAGGGUGACCGGCCACACUGGGACUGAGACACGGCCCAGACUCCUACGGGAGGCAACAGUGGGGAAUAUUGCGCAAUGGGCGGAAGCCUGACGCAGCGACGCCGCGUGGGGGAUGACGGCCUUCGGGUUGUAAACCUCUUUCAGCAGGGACGAAGCGCAAGUACGGUACCUGCAGAAGAAGCACCGGCCAACUACGUG
This 462-nucleotide ribosomal RNA is filed under the name uncultured bacterium. RNAcentral's name for it is "partial 16S ribosomal RNA". It matches the Rfam family "Bacterial small subunit ribosomal RNA", at positions 28 to 507 of the family's 1533-position model. The record is from RNAcentral.